This 27-nucleotide small RNA is filed under the name Bombyx mori (domestic silkworm). Its description in RNAcentral is "ovarian small RNA-33795". Lineage: Eukaryota; Metazoa; Arthropoda; Insecta; Lepidoptera; Bombycidae. The record is from RNAcentral.
UGCCGGGUCGGAACGCGAUACACUGCC